UACGGAGGGUGCAAGCGCUAUCCGGAUUCACUGGGUUUAAAGGGUGCGUAGGUGGGCAGGUAAGUCAGUGGUGAAAUCUUUGGGCUUAACCCGAAAACUGCCAUUGAUACUAUUUGUCUUGAAUAUUGUGGAGGUCAGCGGAAUAUGUCAUGUAGCGGUGAAAUGCUUAGAUAUGACAUAGAACACCAAUUGCGAAGGCAGCUGGCUACACAUAUAUUGACACUGAUGCACGAAAGCGUGGGGAUCAAACAGG
RNAcentral lists this ribosomal RNA (253 nucleotides) under uncultured bacterium. Its description in RNAcentral is "partial 16S ribosomal RNA". It matches the Rfam family "Bacterial small subunit ribosomal RNA", at positions 524 to 776 of the family's 1533-position model. The record is from RNAcentral.